Molecule: long non-coding RNA, 478 nt
Filed under: Rattus norvegicus (Norway rat)
Lineage: Eukaryota; Metazoa; Chordata; Mammalia; Rodentia; Muridae
Description: long non-coding RNA NONRATT016021
Source: RNAcentral
CUGCAUACUGUAGACUGACUAACGCCUGCAGAGACACAAUACUGCCCCUGCCUUUGCAAGACCCCUCCCAGCAGGGUCUUCCCUUUCAUCUGGUAAAGCCCAGGCAUUUGGAAGCAGGGAAUGUCAAGAGCUCAAGGCCCAGGAAUCCGAGAGUUAACACUGUCCACCUGCUCCGUUAGCAUAAACUAGAUAUCCUGUUCAUCGGACUCUGUGAAGCCCUGCCUGUUCCUGUCAGAUACACUCAAAAGUCACUCCUCAAGACAACGAUUAUGUCUUAGUACAGCAGUUCUUAACCUGUGGGGCGUGAGCCCUUGUGUGUGCGUGUGUGUGUGUAUGUGUGUGUGUGUCAGGGGGAGUGUCAAGGAAGCUGGGAUGUGUAAUUGUAUAGUUGAGCCAGUGGUUGCCAUGACAGAACAAUGCCUAUGCUUCAAAAGCAAGAUGAGAAUGAGGAGAGGAGAUGAUGAUUGGUAGCGGCCGC